GUACAUCGCUCGUUGCCGAACGACUGCCGUUGUUGCCUUGAGGUGACGUAUCCCUAGGGUUUCGUCAUCCUCGUGCUACGCCGGCGUCCGUGAGGAAUGC
RNAcentral lists this unclassified non-coding RNA (100 nucleotides) under Cinchona pubescens (red cinchona). RNAcentral describes it as "partial external transcribed spacer". Lineage: Eukaryota; Viridiplantae; Streptophyta; Magnoliopsida; Gentianales; Rubiaceae. The record is from RNAcentral.